AAUAUUAUUGACAUGGGAAAGCACUGCUCACUACUCCAUUACUGGAAUUUAGCAACAAUUAUGUAAAAAAUGGGAUUUCAUGGUCACUGGAAUUUGUUGAUGGUGUUUUUGAAGAGGGGGAGGCUUUCUGCUCCUUUGCCUGUUUAAAAUUGAGUUAACUUAAUUAAGCUUUGUCAACUACUUGUUUACCACUGUUUGACCUAUUGUGGGCCCGCUUAGUGACAUAGGAUAGGACCCUUAGCACUCACUCUCAAUCCUCGCUCCAUGCUCCCCUCUUGCAAAUUUUUAUAGUUUGGAAUGUUUCUAAAGACUCUUUGACACAAUCACGCACAUGCAUUAUGUGAAUUUUGUUGUGAGCACCGGUAAACUGACAAUUGGGAAUUGAUGAGAGUGGUCUCACUGCCAUUGAGGAUUGAAGUUUUGAAUCUUAUUUGCAGUUUGGUGGGAUGUGAUAGUCAAUUUGGGUGACAAAAACUAAUUUAAUGUAUGAAAACUACACUUCCACUUUGUGCUUUUGCUUUGUUAGCCAAAACUUCUGUUUAUGGAAUAAAUUCCAGUUGAUAGCCCAUCCAAUGAGUUAAAUCAGUUAGUAAAUGAAGGUACCUCAGUUGUAUUUCUAUUCUAUCUUUCUGAACUUGAAUUGAGCCCCCAAUAGUGUUUUUACUCGACCGCUAUAAGUUCACCACUGUGUUUUUACUUCAUACCCUUGGGGGGACAUAUUUGGAAGGAUCCGUAAAGAUGGGCAGGUCGUGGAAGAAGUUGCUUAGGACCCGUUUGUACCUUCACGAUUGAAUCAUCACAAGGUUCGUACUCUUUAUAUUUGGUGGUUGUUAUGUCUGCAAUUUCUAUUUAGCCAACCCUCUCUGAAUUUGCAUCAGAGUUCAGCAGGUGUAUUAGUUCCUAACAGACAAGUACAAACAUGGUGAUCCCUGAAUAAGUUUGGGCUACUGUUUUGAACCUGGAAGAGGAAGUUGGUGCUGCUGUUUCGGGUUGCUGUUCCGGACUCGGGGGUUGCUGCUGUUUCAGGUUGCUAUUCUGGUUUAGGUGUGCUACUGCUUUUUUAUUUAUGAAUUAUGAAACUUUUUUCGUUGUAAUAUCAGACUUGGAGGUAUGGAAUUUAUUUUCAGACAGUUUCCAUUGUUGUUUUUAGCUAUUUAAUGGGUUGAUUGAGUCUA
Molecule: long non-coding RNA, 1175 nt
Organism: Rhododendron vialii
Lineage: Eukaryota; Viridiplantae; Streptophyta; Magnoliopsida; Ericales; Ericaceae
Exons: 2
Source: RefSeq, a predicted model, not a curated record